UAUUAACAGGUAAAAAUUUAGAGCAUACUGAAAUACUUAAACAUGAUUAUCAAACGGACACCAACUCAGUUUGGAAAUGACUAAAAGCCCAUUAGUUUUACAAAGUAUCAAAUAUCAAUAUGAGGAUGCUUUAGGCCUUUUUAUUUUAAUAUAAAAUAUUUUUAUAGUGGGAUCUGAACCUAGUACACUAUAAUCUCCAGAGCUUCAUUCAACCAAAGCCUUAUUUGAUUUUUAAAUAAAUUUUCUUUAAAUAUACUUUUACACAUUAGUUUUUUACCCACAUCUAGUAUAUAGAAAACACCAUACGAGAGGGUAAAAUACAAGAACAUACCGUUACAACAUUACCAAUACAACAACUACUAGAACUUGGUUUUGAUAGGCUUUAACUCUAGGAUUUUGAGACAAGGCUUGGCUAGUGUAGAAUUUUGGGGGUAAAGGCCGAUGUACUCAGAAGUCAGGAACAAACACGAGAUAGCAAGAAAGUAAUUAACAGCCUUGUCUUAUUUUAUGCACAUUCUUACCUUAUGAACAAUAUAAAACUAAACAAGAUCUAUCUCCUUAGACUAGCACUUAACCAAUUAAGAACAAUAUAAUCACCAAUCACACAAAAGGAAGAACCUGAAGAUGGUCAAAUUCAUGUUGAAAAACCCGUGCGGGAAGCUCUGAUAAAUCAAUUGUAAACCUCGCACCAUUAAUAUCUUGUGCAUCAAUCUUUACAGAUUCUGGCCUCUGAAAGCAGAAAAAAGAAAAGAAAUACGAGUAAAGGCAAGUGAGCAAAGAGACAAUGUAUUAUAUAGAAGUACAUAUGAUCGGUGUUGUCAAUGGUGCACGGCACACUCUAGACCCGACAACUUUUAUAUUGCCCAAAGUGCAGGGUGCAAAAACAGCACUAGACUGAAUGAAAUAUGGAGCAAUACCUAUGUCCGUAUUUUUUCAAUGUGUGUAUCUAAUAUAAAUAAUAAGGUAUAAUCAUGAUAACAAACCUUAAAGAGUGGUCUAAUUUACUCACAGAACAUGCAAUUUUUUUUAUUUUGACCAAUAAAUUCUCUUCCUUAUGGUCUCACAUAAAUUGUUUAAUAUUCAAAUAUUAAAAGGCAAAGAGUAUUAAAGAUUUUGCUCAUUGCCUAACCAAAAAACCAGACCUAGGCGCACCAGGCAUGCACCUAAUCAAACAUACCUCUGAAAGGGUCUGAGGCACUUCUGCUGUUUGGCGCUAAGGCCUUGACAAUAAUGCAUAUGCAAUGAAACAACAGAGUAAACAGAAGCAGGUGCUGCAAGUACCUGAACAUCAGCAUAGAUUCUUGGAAAAGAUAAGCAACCUUCAUUAAACAGCACCAUCUUCUUUGAAUAUUUCGCAACUCUCGGAUUUACAAGAACGAUUUCUUGCCCUUCACCUCGCUCGCCAACGGGAUUAAACACCAUCAGUUGGACAUUAAUUCCUACUUGUGGAGCUGAGAGACCAAUGCCAUCAGUUCUGUUACAACAAAUGAAAGCCAACCAAUUUUCACAUUAAAAUUGCAUGAAUUCUUUAAACACCUAAGUUUUACAUUUUUCCGACUAUAAAGAUCAACGCGCUAAAACCCUUAUAUUGCCUCCACUGCAAGCCACCAAAAAUGUUUGCUUGAGUGAAAUAAAUAAAUAUAUGUAGGUUGAGAUAUAUAAUUAUGAUAAACAACUCUAAAGAGUGAUGCCUUUCUUAUCGGUGAAUGUGUAUAUCUAAUCAAAAAACUAAAAGUAAGAAGAAAACAAUUAAAUAGAAUUUAAAUGAGACGACUUUAUUUUAAAAUUUACAAAAUUAAAAAAAAAAAUGCCCGAGCGCAUUGUGCAUUUGUUGCAACAGAAACGGUUGAAGGAUGUAGAUUUGAGUACCCUUAAACAUGUAUUAAGCUCCUAUUUAAGGAUUUGGGAUUUUAGAUUUGGAUUAGUCAUUAUUGUUGCUAAUAAUUACAAGUAAUAGCCAAAAGAAAAUAAAUAAAUAAAUAAAUAAAAAUCUUACUUGUACAUAACGUCGAACAUCUCAUCGACAAGUUUCUUCAAAUUCUCAUCAAAAGUGUCUAUUCGUUUAUUUCUCUUCCGCAAUAUGGGGUCCGGAUACUCCACUAUUUUCAGCGGCGGCUCAAACUGGAGAUCCUCCGCUUCGAAACAAAACAAAACAAAAUAUGUAACUUUAGAAGCGUAAAUUACAAAGAAAACCCGGUUCUUAUCGACGCUUUACUUACCGGAAGCCAUUUUGUGGUCUUUGGAAGAGAAACCUCGCUUGGCUUGUGCGUGGACCGGAGUUAGAAGAGGAUUGGUUUGGUUUACCGAGGAAGUGAACCGAGCAGGUGAAGUGAAAAUGUUGAACCGGUGAAGGAAGGCGGUGGGGUGGUGCAGAAUGGGAAGGAUAACGCGUGUUAGAGACGGAGAGUGGAGGUGGAGCCAACUCGCGCAAGCCAUUGAACUAAGAUUUUCGGAAAAAGAUCACUGUCGUAGAACUAAAAACCUUUUGUGUGAGUAUGUUCCGAAACAUUUUGGAUUUUUUGCGUUUUACUCCUUCUGAAUUUUCUUUUUCCUGAUUUUUGAACUUAGACAUAGGUUAUUAUACUAAUAAAAAAAGGGUAAACUGCACCAUUGGUCACUAAACAAUGGGUAAGUUUUCAUUUUGAUCACUUAACUAAAAAAGUUACAACUUGGUCAUCAAACUAUUCAAAAAUUUUCAUUUGAGUCACCUAAUUGUUAAAAUAAAUAUUAUAUGGUUUUCUCUAUUCACACGGUCUACACCAAUUGAAAGCUCUCUCACCUCUUCUUUUCUACAGUUCAAUUUUUUUCAUGAAUCAACUUAAGACAUCACAAAUUCGUAAACCAAAAUUCAAACAACUUUUUUCUUUCGACACUAACCAUUAGAUUGACUUGGAUCUAUGGUAUGCUCUUCUACUUGUCAAUGGGUAUUGAUCAUCGAAUUAUCACUUGGAGCUCGCUGGCGAAACUUAUUCUAAAAAAAACACUUAACAACUCAGUGACUAAAAUAAAAAUUUUCGAAUAGUUCAAUGACCAAAUUGUAACUUUUUUAGUUAUGUAACUAAAACGAAAACUUCCGGUAGUUUACCCAAUAAAAAAUCAUGUAUAAUAUUAAUUGAUAAAAAUAUCAACAUUGUGAUUAAUUAUCUUUAAUUAGUCACUGUUCAAAAAGAAUAGAGAUUAAUCUGCUUUAUUUUCUAAAGAGACUAAUUUAGUGAAUAUAAAAAUUGAAAAAGGCGAGGGACCACCUUUUAAUUAUUUCUUUAACUUCCUAAAUGCUUUUUUGUGUGAAACUGAAAUUUUCAGCUAUGUGAGGUUUAGUGUCGUUAAAAAAGUUCUAACUUUUUUUUUACUUUAAUUUGAUAUUAUUUUAUUGUAUUUAUCCAAAAAUCAAUAUGCAAAAUGAGAAUAAAAAUCUCGUACAAAUAAAGCUUAAGAAAGCCAUAUAUUCAAAUACACUAAACGGAGAAUGCAAUCGAGAACUUCGAUCUCAUACAGACAAAGCCCUGAAAAUUUUUAUUACAGAGAAAAAGAGACCACGGCUUGUUAUCAUAGCUGCUCUUAACUAUAGAGAAAGAUAGAGUCUUUAUACAGUUUCUUGCUCUUGUGGCAGUAAAAACAAUGACUUGAACAAUAGAUGCAAUGAAAUUCCAAACAAAAUCGAACUUUCAAAAAUUUAACAAACCAUAAAUCACAAGAAAUUAAAAAAAAAAAAAAUUUGAAUCACCACGUGACAAAAUGGUCCAAACUUUGUGCUAGUAAAAACUUCCUAUUCUUAAGACUUACCCUUCAUUGGCUCAGAAAUUUGAUUGGAAUUCAACAUGAAUUCUGAAAUGUUAUCAUUAACUAUUUUUAUUAAACUAUCACACCCUAGCACUUUGGGAAGAAAACAACAAAAAGAAAUUAUUAAGGUAAAUUACUUAACUCAUCAUCCAAAUUUUAGGGCACUUUUAUUUUGGUCACUCAAAAAGAUUUUUGCAAUUCCGUCACUUAAUUUUUAAGGCAUUUUCAUUUUAGUUACCCAAACAUUAAAUUAUUAACCGCUAAUUGUACACGCCAAACUAUGUUCAUAUCUUGUUUACACUUUUAUUUUGGUCAUCAUUUUUUUUUUAAGUCUUGAUCCGAGUAAAAAAAAUGAUUAAAGUGAAAAAGUGGUAGAAACUAAAAUAAUACAUUAAAAUUUUGUCAAUCUAUAUUUGUUUAUCCCAUUGCCAAGAAUUCUAAAUUUAUUUUUUUUUCAAUCUAAAAAUUUUAAAAUUCAAUGCAUCAAAAUUAAUUAAAUAAAUUGUUGAAUUUUUUAUCUCUUAAUAAUGUCAAUCAAUCUGUUAUAUAAUAUUGAAAAUAAUUAAUUUUAUUAAUGUAUUUUUCUUCCAAAUUUUAAAAGUUUAUUUUAUGUUUUCAAAUUAUCCUAAAUGAAAUCAUCUCAAAUAACUCAUAUUUGAUAAUUAUUUACAAUAUUUAAAUUUCUUUUGAUUAUAUAAUCUCGAAUCUUCCAUAUUAACCCAAAAACAAAGAAAAAUCCUUACAAUUAAUUAAAUUAAUUACUCAUUCUUCCUUUGUGUAAAAAAAUGAUGAAAAUAAUUCUGGAUUUUGUUUGGCAUGUAAGAUAAAAUUAAUUAAUUAAAUUAAUCGCAAUGAUUUUUUCUUUUUUUUUACUUUUAACUUAGCAUGGAAGAUUUAAGAUUAUAUAAUAAAAAAUUGAGUUUUGUAGAAAGUUAUUAAAUGAGUUAUUUAAUUUGAUUUUAAAUUGGAAACAUAAAAUAAAAUUUUAAAUUUUAGAAGGAGAUCAAAUUAAUUAAUUCCAACAUUUUAGUAAAAAAAAUCACUAUCAAGGGAUAAAAUUUUUUUUACCAAUUUAUUUAGUUGGUUUUGAUGUUUUGAAAUUUAAAAUUUCAAUAUUUAAGAAAAAUUUAAAACUUUGGGCAAGUGGUAAACAAGUACAAUAUGACAAUUUUAAAAAAAAUUAGAUUUAUAUUUUGAAAUUUUUAAAAUUUGAACUAAAAUUUGGUAUCCGAGUUAAGUUUUAUCUUUGCCUUGUCCGGUUUUAAAAUUUUGUAAAAUUCUCGAAAUAACAAUGCUAUGUUUUUUUUUGAAUUAUUUUUAAACAUUUUUUGAGAAUUUUUAUUCCAAACUUUUGUGCAAAAUCGUUAGAUUUUAUUAAAGUGAAAUUUCUAAAAUUAAUUAUGUUAUAAAUAAUUUAGUGAAAAAUUUUAGAAAUUUGUUGUUAUUAGUUACAUACAUUUUUUUAGGUGCAUAAAAAUUUUAGACUUAUUGCAUGAGGUAUUUAGUAAUAAAACUUUAGAAUAUAUGUCUAGAGAUCCAAAUAAUUUUAUUUGAUUAGAAAAUUAGCCACAACAACUUUAAUUAAAUGAAAUUAUUUAUUGUCGUAAAGAUCUUAUAAGGUUUAUAGACAAUAGAUGUUACAUAAUGACUUAGCAACAAUCAUGAAUAAAGUUUAAGGUUUAAUUAAAUUAAAUUAUUUAUUGUAGUAAAGAUCUUAUAAGGUUUAUAGACAAUAGAUGUUACAUAAUGGCUUAGCAACAGUCUUGAAUAAAGUUUAAGGAUUAAUAUCUAGUUAAGUGGUUUUCUUAAUUUUAUUUAGUUAAAGACUAGUCAUAGCAUCUCUAGUUAAAUAAAAUUAUUAAAGUUAAAAAUCACAUAGAGAAAGCAUAUGUAUUAAAUUCCAUUGCAUAAUAGAUAAAAUUAUUAGAUGACUUUUUAUGAGUUAUAAAAAUGAAUCUAAUAAGUUUUUUUAUCAAAAAGGAUAGUAAAUAAUUCUAUCAUAAACUGGAUCCAAUUGAAUUAAAAAUUCAGCCCACAUGCAUUGUUAUGACACUAGAUUCAUUAUUUACAUAAUUUGCAUUGGUAAAUUAUGAUUUAUGUUUGCCUCAAAUUUUUGUUAAGCAUGUAUGUUCAUUUAUUUUGCAGUUUUACAACCUGUAAAUAUGUAUGAUAAUAGAGUAGAUAUCCCUAAAUUAACUAGUGAGAACUUUAAGUUCUAAAAGGAGAGUAUUAUUCUCCAAUUGAGGUACUUGGAUAUUGACUAUGCCAUAAGAAAAUCCAAGCCACAUAUUACUGAAACCAAUACUCAGGUUGAUAUUGCUCUGUAUGAAAAAUAGGAGCGAUCUAAUUGCUUAAGUAUCAUGUUCAUAAAGAGUAAGGUUCUUGCUAAUGUUCGUGACUCAAUUGAGCAUUAUGAAAUAUGUUCGUGACUCAAUUGAGCAUUAUGAGAAUGUCCAAGAAUUAUUAACAACUAUUGAAAAAUAGUUCAAAACUUCUUAAAAAUCAUUAGCCAGCACCCUAUUCAUGAAGUUCACAUCAAUGAAGCUCACUAUCGUGAAAGGUGCACGUGAUCACAUCAACAAGAUGAGAGAUUUAGCAGCUCAAUUGAGAGCACUUGAGGAUGAAAUGUUUGAAUCUUUCUUGGUGCACUUUAUAUUGAAUACUCUUCCACCUCAGUAUGGGUCAUUUAAGAUAUCUUAUAACACACAUAAGGAUAAGUGGUCUAUUGAUGAGCUUUUGACCAUGUGUGAUCAAGAAAAGGCUAGACUCAUACUAAAGAUACUAACGGUUACUCAAAGAAAGAAGACAACCUAAGCCAAGCAAAAGGGGAAGGCCAAAAUGUAACCCCAAGUUGACAUAAAGAACUAGUCCUAGUGUUUUUUCUAUAAAAAGAAGGUACACUUAAAGAAGGACUAUGUCAAGUUUAAGAGCUAGCUUGAAAAGAAAAUUAAAUCAAUCUUACUUGUUUGCUUUGAGUCAAAUAUGAUUGAUGUUAGUUAUAACACAUGAUGGAUUGAUUUUGGUUCUACAAUCCAUAUCUUCACUUCCUUAUAGGGAUUAAGAAACUUUAGGGAACCAGUAGGAGCUAAGUGACACAUCUAUUUAGGAAAUAAGAUGAAGUCACAUGUGGAAGAAAUUGGAACAUGCAAAUUAGUGCUUAUGAUUGAUUUUGUUUUAAUUAUAGAGAAGACUUUUUAUAUACCCAGUUUUUUAUAGAAAUUUAGUUUCUAUUUCAAGACUUACACCCUUUGGGUAUUGUUUUAGUUUUUCAAACACUGGUUUCAGUUUAUUUUAUAAAUUUGAGCUUGUUGGAAAUAGUGUUUUAUCUUAUGGUCUUUAUUCUCUUAAUUUGUAAAUUAAUGCCACUUACAAUGUUAUGCACAUUCAAACUAGCAUUAAACGUUGUGUUAUAAAUGAAGAUUCCUCUAUUUUAUGGCAACGGAGUUUAGGACACAUCUCCAUUGAAAAGAUUAAUAUAUUAAUAAUGAUGGGGUACUCAAUACUUUAGAUUUUACUGAUUUCAAUACUUGUAUAGAUUGCAUUAAGGGCAAGCAGACUAACAAAUCAAAGAAAGGUGCCAAGAGGAGUUCGACCAUAUUGGAAACUAUCCAUUUUGAUAUAUGUUUUCCAAAUAUGGAUGUGUAAGGUUAGAAAUACUUCAUCACUUUCAUAGACGAUUACUCAUUAUAUAUGUAUCUUUACAUGCUUCAUCACAAGAGCGAAACAUUAAAAUCCUUUAAAGUUUUCAAGGCCAAAGUAGAGAAACAAUGUGGUAAGCAAAUCAAGAUUAUGAGAAUCGAUAGAGGUGGUGAGUAUUAUGGUAGAUACAAUAAGGAUAGACAAACACCUGGUCCAUUUGUAAAGUUUCUUCAGGAUAACGGUAUAGUUGGCCAAUAUACCAUGCCAGGCUCACCUGAUCAGAAUGGUGUUGCGGAAAGAAGAAAUCGAACUUUAAUGGACAUGGUGCAAAGUAUGCUUAAUAGCUCUAAGUUGCCUAAGUCCUUAUGGGUUGAAGCUCUCGAAACGACUGUGUAUAUGUUAAACCGAGUUCCAACCAAGGCUGUCUCAAAGAUACCUUUUAAGUUAUUCAAAGGUUGGAAGCUGAGUUUGCAAUAUAUACGCAUAUGGGGAUGUCUGCCUGAAGCAACAGUUUAUAACCCACAAGAAAAGAAACUAGAUCCAAGGAACAUUAGUGGGUAUUUCAUUAGAUAUGCCGAAAGGUCCAAAGGUUACAGAUUCUAUUAUCCAUAUUAUAGCACUAGAAUUAUGGAAUCGAGAAAUGUAAAUUUUCUUAAAAAUAACUCAAUUAGUGAGAGUGAUCAAUCUCGAGACACGAUUCUCGUAGGUCAAACUUUCCACUUUAGGUGAGAGAUUGAUUAUCAUUCAUAACACCCCUCAAGCUUAACGGGGUGUUGAACAAUCAAUCAAUGAAAAUUCACAAGCUACUGAAAACACUCCAGUAGAUCAAGCUGAUCAAGAAAAUUUGAAAAUUAUUGAACAAUUAGUUGAAUAACAUGAUCCAUAAGAAAAUGUUGGUUCAACAUUGAAGAGAUCUACUAGAGAAAGGAAACCAACAAUUUCUAGUGACUAUUUGUAUAUAUACAAGAGUCUGACUAUAAUAUUGGAGUUGAGAAUGAUCUUGAGUCAUUUUCACAAGCCAUGAGUUGCAAAGAGUCAGAAUUUUGGUACAAUGCUAUGAAUGAAUAGAUGAAUUCCAUGAAAAGUAAUGAUGUUUGGGAUCUUAUGUCGUUGUCUGAAGGUGUAAAAAACAUUGGAUGUAAAUGGGUCUUCAAAAUAAAAAGAGACUCAAUGGGCAAAAUAGAAAGAUAUAAAGUUAAACUCAUUGCAAAAGGAUUCACUCAGUGAGAAAGAAUCGAUUAUAUUGAAACUUUUAGUCGUAUAUCUAAGAAAGAUUUCUUGCGCAUUGUGUUAGCAUCAAUAGCUCAUUUUGACUUUAAGUUGCAACAAAUGGAUGUGAAAAUCGGUUUUCUCAAUGUUGACCUAGAAGAAGAGGUAUACAUAAAAAAACUUGAAGGAUUAUCCUAUAGUGAUGGUGAACACUUAGUAUGCAAGCUAAAAAAGUUCAUAUAUAAAUUGAAACAAGCCUCCCAAUAGUGAUAUUUAAAAUUCCAUAAAGUUAUCUCUUCGCUUGGUUUUGUCAAGAAUAUCAUGGAUCAGGAUAUACCAGAAGGUCAGUGGGAGUAAAAUUUGUUUCCUUAUUCUAUAUGUGGAUGACAUUUUACUUGCAAAAAAUGCCAGGGGUAUGCUACAUGAAGUGAAACAAUUUCUUUCUAAAAAUUGUGAUAUGAAAGAUAUGGGUGAUGCGUCUCAUGUCAUUGGCAUUAAGAUUCAUUGUGAUAGACAUCACGGUAUCUUAGGUCUAUCUCAAGAAACCUAUAUUAACAAAGUUUUAGAAAGAUUUUAGAUAAAAGAUUAUUCAUCGAGUAUUGCUCCUAUAGUGAAGGGUGAUAAGUUCAAUCUGAACUAGUGCUCGAAGAAUGAAAUUGAGAGGGAUCAAAUGAAAAACAUUCCAUAUGCUUCUGUUGUUGGAAGCCUGAUGUAUGUUCAAGUCUGCAUAAGACCUGACAUUGCAUUUACAAUUGGAAUGUUGGGAAGAUAUUAGAGUAAUCUAGGUAUUGACCACUAGAAAGUUGCAAAGAAAGUUUUGAGAUAUCUUAAAGGGACAAAUGACUACAUGCUUACGUACAAACGAUCAGACAAUUUGGAGGUGAUUGGCUACUCCGAUUCAGACUUUAUUGGUUGUGUUUAUUCACGAAAAUUAACAUCAGAUUGCAUAUUUAUGUUUGCUAGCGGAGCUAUAUCUUGGAGGAGCGUUAAGCAAACCUUAAUCGCUACAUCCACUAUGGUGGCUAAGUCGUUUCAUAUUUUGAGGCUACCUCACAAGGAGUAUGGUUGAAGAGUUUUCUUUUUGGGCUUACACUUAUAGAUUCGAUUUCUAGGUUGUUGAUGGUAUAUUGUGACAAUUCAAUUGUUGUCUUUAUGGCUAAGAACAACAAAAGUGGAAGUCGAAGUAAACAUAUCGAUAUUAAGUAUCUAGCUAUAACGGAACGUGUUAAAGAAAAGAAAGUGAUCAUUGAGCACAUUAACACUGAGUAGAUGUUAGUUGAUCCUUUGACUAAAGGCAUGUCACCACACAAAUUUAAGGAUCAUGUUGUCACUAUGAGACUUGUUUCCACCUUGUAAAUUAUCGUUAUAAGAACGAUUAUAAAGAAAUUAAGUUUGAUGUUUCUGAUAUUUUGUGUACACAUUAAUUUGAUUUCGAGAAAUGUCACUAAAGUUUGGACCUGGAAUAAACAUUGGGUUUAUUCAUUAAGAAAUUUGGGCUAAAGUAUUGAGACAUGCUAUAUUGUUAUACAAGGAAGAUAUUACUCAAAUUCUAAGAGAAAUUAUCACCAUGAUUUGUGCAUUAUGUUUCGACUUUAAGUAUUCAUGGGCAAUAUGAACCAAGUGGGAGAAUGUUGGAACUGCUUUGGUUUGUGGGGUUAUUCCCACAUUUUGCUACUCUUACUUCCACACUUUUGUAUGUGUGAUAGUGGGAUGUGUAAUUGAUGGUUUUUUAUGGGUAACUACCACUAUAAAUACUAACUAGCAUAAGGUCCUUAGGCAAAAAAAAAAUUUCUUUCAAAGAUAGGGAAUUAUAUAUACCAUUUAGUGAGGUUUUCGAGUGCUUAGAAGACUUUGGCGGUUUUUAGUUUUUAGUACAAAUAAAAUCGACGUUCUCGACGGUAGUUUGACAUGCUCGACAGUGGUGUUAUAACAUUCAGGUUUAGGCAUUUGGUUCAAGCAAUGACUCGAGGUAUUUAUGUUUGAUAUUUUUCGCUGCUCUAUAUUGUAAAUCGCUAUUUAUGCUAACAUUCCAGUCCAUUUAAGCUAAUAUUGGUCUACAUCGGUGAUACAAGAUUUUAAUAUUUUAAAUUAAUUUUUAAAAAAUUUUAUCUGGACCAUUUUUGUUCUUUUAUAAUUAUGUUAAAAAUAAAAUCAAUAAAUUAAGCUAAUGAACAUAAUUAAUAAUUUAAAUUUUAUAUUUGCAUAUAAAUAUGUUUAUAUUAUAAUUGAGAUAUAUUUCUAUACGUAUAUAUUAAUAUAGAUAAAUAUUAUAAGUAUCAAUAUUAGAAAGAAAAACUAUUCAUCAACUAAUACAAUAUUAACAAGUUUGAAAAUAUCAUUAAAUUUUUUUCUCAUAUUUAUUUUUGCCACUAUUGAGGUUUCAAAUUUUAAUAAAAUUUUCUAAAUUAGCAUAUUUAAUAAUAAAUAUUUAAUUUUAUUAUGGAAACUUAAAAGAAGAUAAAAAAAAAAAGGUUUUGCGGUUGAGAGGAUAUGAAGAAACUCAUCCACAUUCCUCAACUUGGUCUCCUAACAUUAUCAAUUAAAUUUAUUUUAUUUUUCCAAAUUGAUUUUUUUCUCCUCAUUUUCACAACCUACCACUUCUUCUACCACGUGGCAACAUCUUAUUAGCAACAUCCACCACAUAACUGGGUCUCACAACACAACCCCUUCAAGGCACAGAAACCGAAGGCUCCACGUGUCACUAAUCCAAGACGGUCCCACAUGCUCAUGUCAGCCAACGGUGCUGAUCUCGUUCGGUGAGAUCACAUUGUAAACGACAAGUCCCACAAGAUUUAAAUAAGGACAAUGUCGUAAAUAAACCCUUCUUUUCGAAUAUUAAAUUUUAAACAAAAAAUUUUAUUUUCUUCAUUUCUCGUUGGAGUUUUGCCUGAAAAAGCCAAACACCUUCGAGAAAAACCGAAAAUUUCUUUAAACAUAGAAAAGAAAAGGCGUAUUUUCUCGGAUAAUUAAUGGGAAGAGCGUUUGUGUAUGUAAUUCUUGGAGGAGGUGUAGCAGCUGGAUAUGCAGCUCUUGAAUUUACGAGAAAAGGGGUUUCUCCUGGUGAACUUUGCAUUAUUUCUGAAGAACCUGUGAGUUUUUUUAAUUAAGAAUUCAAUCUAGUUUUCUAAAUUUGUUUUUCCUUUUCAACUUUAUAUUUCACUUCAUUUUCUUUUUCUCUCUGUUGGGUAUUUACUGUUUGUUGAAUUCGGUGCCUCUGUUAUCUAUGUUCUUUGUUUGCUUGAAGUCUUUCUGGUUUUGUUUUGAAUUCUGCCUCUUCCUUUUUUUUUGGUACUACAACACUUAUUCUUGCUGUAUCGUUUGAUUUUUUUAUGAUUUGGUGAAAACUGAAAAACGGUGUCUUGUUUGCAUAUUUGAUAUGUUUCAAAGCUGAAUUGAAUUGAUUUUGGAGAAUUAGAGUGUAGAAGUGAAUUAGGAUAUUGUUGCUUUUACCGAAAGAAGUUUGAAUUUUCUAAAAUUAGGCUCAUGUAUUGGAAGUUGGAAAAUGUAUGGAAUUUGGGCAGUCAAAUAUGCAGUUAAGAGAGGUUUAUGCUCCCCAAUUCUUUGUAGUGCAUGCCAUGGAUAAUGUUAUACACUUAAUACUCUGUGUUACUUGGACUUGGUUUUGAGUAAUAGAUAUAAUAGGGAUUUCUGUCCGACACAGGUACUCAACUCUAUUUGUUAGGUUUUUUCGUAUAUUUGGAAAACCAUACCAUCCGUGUUCGAAUAUAUAUAUCGAAUAUGAUUGUUCCAAACACAGGUACUUUAGGUAAAAUGAAGAGUUGGAGCAGCAUAGCCUAUACUAUGGGGAUGCUUAAUCAAUCAUCUGAACUUUGUGUCCUUUUACUAUGUUAGCUCUAUCCUUAACACCGUUAAAGAAAGUUUUGAUUUGUUCUUUAUCCUAUUAAAUUCUGAUCUGGCCAUAAAAGGUGCAGAGGGUGGGGCAACAGGAAAUGAGAGAAGACAAAAAAAAAGAAAAGAAGGAAAAUUUUUUAAAUAAAAGAAACCUGUUUUUGGUUUUAUUUUUCAAAAAAAAGUAUGUAUGAUGCAUGACAGCCUCUUGUCAAAUUUUAUCAGUGGAUGACCAAGCAUUUCUCAUUGUCGGUGUUAAGGGUUAGAUUACUUGAUGGAUGGAUUGAAAGUUCACAUACCUGAUCAAACUUUUUUCUACUGUAGGUUUGACAUAGGAAGUUUUCUGAUACAUACUGGACACUAACGCAUUUUAUGAACUUAAGUCAUCUGUAAUUAAGGAAAUCUUAAGGGUGUGGCUUUAUGCAUUGCAAGAGGCUAUCUUCUCUUCUUAGUUCAUGUUUCAUUACUAAUGCCUAUUUAUCAUUCAGAUUUGUAGUUAUGUUAUAAUUUUUGAGUACUUCGUAUUUUUAUUCCUUGAUAUGUCAAUAUUAGUAAAGGAUUACGGGUUUUUUUUGCAGGUUGCCCCAUAUGAGAGGCCUGCUUUAAGCAAAGGCUUUUUACUUCCCGAAUGUAAGAAACAUUUUCAAUUGUUCACUCAAUAUAUGUUGUUUCUUACUUUCUUUUUGGGUUCAUUCAAUUUUCCACGCCGGUCUUUCAGUCAGAAGAAGAUUGAAGAAACAAGAGUAGUGAAGAGAAUGAAUUUAAUAUGACAUUUCGGAUGAAUUUGUUUGGUGGUAAUUACUGAUAAUAGUACAAUAUAUCUUGUUUAUACACUAGAGCUGUUCUGUAUCUCUUUGUCUUGUUCAUUGAGUUGUAGUUGUAAUUAUAAAAUGUUGUUACUAAUAAUAGGGAUAGAAUACCUAGUAAAGUGGCCGAUAACCAACAACUUGUAGCUUUUUGGUAGUGGUAGAGUUCAGGGUGGGCAUUGGUUUCUUGCCUAUUUUCUAACCUGUUUUUGUGGAAUUAAUCUGAUAAUUUGAAUCUUAGUAGAAAGACGUGUUUUUGGUCGUCACUUAUCCUGAUAUUCUAUGGUUUUUGUUGAUAAAUUUUGCAUUAAUCUGCAGCUCCUGCACGCCUUCCAUCAUUCCACACAUGCGUUGGUGCUAAUGAGGAAAGGUUAACUCCUAAAUGGUACAAGGAACAUGGUAAAUAUUUUCUCACAGCAUACUCCUUUUACUUCAAUGAUUGCUCAAUGCUUCAUUGCAAGAUUGUCGGUCACUUUCUGGUUUGACAUAUAAAUGUAUCUCAAAUCAUCAUUGAAAGCUAUGUUAGUCUAUUUUUCUUGACGUACCUGUCCGACACAUAUUUGGAGAUAGGUUCGGGGGCACGAUUCUCCAAAUUUAUGUAAAAACUUGGAAAACUGAAGAUACCCAAGUUUGACACUGAUCCCUGAGUCCUACUAACAUCAAUUGAAAGUACAGAUGAACCUAUUAGUAGUCAUAUUUCCUUCUGUUCAUAUAUGCAGUCGAAGAAAGAAAAGUAAACCUUUCAAAAUUCUACUAGAACUUUCUCUCUUCUAAAGAAAUUGUUUUCACAUUUUUUAGGGAUUGAAUUGGUCCUUGGAACUCGAGUUAAGUCUGUUGAUGUCAGACGUAAGAAGCUAUUGACAGCAACAGGAGAGACGAUAAGUUACAAGAUCCUUCUCAUUGCCACAGGAGCUCGGGUAUUGAAACUGACCUUUUAAAUCACCUAUGACCUUCUCUCACAUUGUUUGUUCAAUAUGUUUGUUACUCCUCUCAGAAAAAUGAGAAUAACUUCGCUUAAAACAAGAAAAAUAUUUUUCUAUAAAGGACGGUAUUUGUAUCAGACUCAACAGGAUGAGUUAACACAAUGGUCAAUUUUGGAGUUUAUCUCGUUAUUGGCACAAUUUAUGAUUCUUUGAAUUGUAGAGUGCCGAUAUUUUUCUCGUGGAUAAUGUGUCCACUUUUCUGGCUUAAUUUUGUUCUUCUAUUUUUGUGUUAAAUGUAGGCUUUGAAGCUUGAAGAAUUUGGAGUGGAUGGAUCAGAAGCUGAAAAUGUAUGUUACUUAAGAGAUUUAGCAGAUGCAAACGGUCUUGUUAAUGUGAUGCAAUCUUGUUCCAGUGGAAACGCUGUAGUAAUUGGUGGUGGGUACAUUGGAAUGGAAUGCGCAGCAUCUUUGGCGAUCAAUAAAAUAAAUGUAACCUUGGUUUUUCCCGAAGUACAUUGUAGUGAGUGUCCAUAGUGAUGUGUUCUUUUCUUGAUCUCGUUCUUGUUUCAAGCUUCUGGACCAUAAAGAGUAUGUUUAAGUAAAUCAUAGUCCUUUUUUGAUGUGGCAGUGGCUCGAUUGUUUACACCGAAGAUUGCAAACUAUUAUGAGGAAUAUUAUCAAGCUAAAGGAGUUAAGUUCGUCAAAGGAACUGUCUUGACGUCGUUUGAAUUUGAUUCUAGUGGAAAGGUAAAUUAUCUUAAUAUGCUUAAAGUUGAAUUUCUUUUGCCGUAGAAUAUUAUAGUAGCUGGAUUAUUACUAAAAGUUGCAUCACAUUUUGGAGUGGAACCUGAUGUUUAUUGCUUUUCAGGUUAUGGCUGUUAAUCUUAGAGAUGGAAGUCAGCUACCUGCAGACUUGGUCGUGGUUGGAAUCGGAAUACGCCCAAACACGAGCCUUUUUGAAGGCCAACUAACACUUGAAAAAGGUGGGAUCAAGGUGAAUGGGAAGAUGCAAACAAGCAACGACUCAGUUUAUGCGGUUGGAGAUGUUGCAGCAUUUCCAGUCAAACUAUUUGGUGAAACUCGCAGACUGGAGCAUGUUGAUUCAGCCCGAAAAUCUGCUAAACAUGCUGUUGCUGCAAUAAUGGAACCCAAGAAAUCAGGCGAGUUUGACUACCUCCCAUUCUUCUAUUCCAGAGUCUUUGGAUUGUCUUGGCAGUUUUACGGGGACAAUGUAGGAGAGGCAGUACAUUUCGGGGAUUACUUGAGUGGUACCUUUGGGGCUUACUGGAUAAGCAAGGGUCAUCUUGUUGGGUCUUUCCUUGAAGGGGGAACCAAAGAGGAGUACGAAGCCAUAGCGAAAGCCACAAGUCUCAAACCACCGGUUGAAGAUCUGGCUGAGUUGGGACAGCAGGGCCUAAACUUCGCAUUGACAAUUAGCAAGAAACCACAGCCGGCACUACCCAUUGAAGUCAGCCAUUCUACUUCUGGCCUUGUUUUGGAAAAACCGAUGUAUGCUUGGUAUGCGGCAGCGGGAGUUGUUCUGGCAGCAUCAAUAGCUGGAUUUGCAUAUUGGUACGGGAGGAGACGUCGAAGGUGGUGAGAAAUCAUCAUCCAUGUAAAACACCAUUGUUGUAGCAGUGAUACAAUAAAAGUGUUGUUGAAAUACUGGAUAUGUGAUGAUUUGUAGUCGAACUCACUCGAUAGCUCAAAAUUAUUAUUACUCAAAACAACAUCAUAUUUUCCAUCAAAAUUCUUGAAUAUAUUAAUUUUUGCAUGAAAAGUAAACAACUAUAUGGCGGCAUCUGUCUAAACAUCAUACAUUUAUUUAUUAAAUAUAUGCAUAUUAUGCAUUAAUUUAUAUGGUGUUUCUAAAAUUUGACUCAGCGUACGUAUUUAUAUGUAGUCACUCAUUUUUCCGGGUAUUAUAUAACCAGCUGUGCUAAUAUAUGCAUUCAAAUGGAUUCUCAUACUAUAAAUAUAGUAAGAAAAAGGAUCAAUCUGGGCGUUUGAUCUAGUGGUAUGAUUCUCGCUUUGGGUGCGAGAGGUCCCGAGUUUGGUUCUCGGAAUGCCCCUGUUUUCCCUGUUGGAUAUACAUAUUUUUCAAUUGCCAACAAACAGAAACAGCUUCAACAAGGGGUCGGUCGAUCGAGCUUCAAGUUCAGCUCCUUUGCUUUCUGAAAAAUAAGUUUUGAGCGUUGUACUUUUAUACCUAACCUAACUUUGAUUUUCGCCGUAUCAUUCAACAACAUGAAGAUUUGGAUUUGGUAGUCCUAAUCUCACUAAAUAUCAUGUACAAUUUAUGCAAUUUCAAAAAAAAUAUUUGAAGAAAAAGCAUCUCAUCAAUCCAUUACUUCUUAGCUUUGGCAUUAUUUUACUUAAUCACGUCAAGUUGGUUUCAAUAGUGAUCAUAGCUAAUAAUCUGUCACUUUUCUAUCUGCACCUAUUGAGUAGAGUGUUUGAAGAUUGAGACCUAUACCAAGCCAAUCUCACUUUAUAAAUACAUUCCAUCAACAUAUAGAAGAACUUGGUUUGCUUCUAACACAAACAUUGUCUCAACUUCCUAUACCUCCAACCUUAGUGGCUCUCCACGCUAUAAAUGAAUGUGAACCACAAAAGUAGUCUACCCAAUAUUUUAUGUAACUUAAUUGUUAUAAUAAUUAACGGCAUAAGUGGGAACUAAACAAAAAGUUAUAUCUCUCCCCUUAGGGAGCUAUUGUUAAGAACAAAAAAAUUAAUAUGCUAUCUGUGGAAACCAACUUUUUGUUUUUGGAAAAAAAACAAAAAUUAGUUGUCGAUGAAAAUUUGGAGUCGCCACUAAUCUUUUAUUAAGGUGUGAUUGGGUCACCUAAAAACGACUUUGGUCUACGAAUUUUAGAAAAACGGGUCUGGGAGUCGAUUACGUAUGAGAAAGGAUUAACACCCUCAUAACGCCCAAAAAUUGGUACCUAGUUAAUUAAUUAAUGUCUUAAUGUCGAAAAUUUGAAAAUAUAUAAUCCUUAGCAAAAACUUAAAAACGUUACGUGUUAAGACCCUUAUCAUUUUAGAGAAAGAAAAUGUCACACCCAAUGCGUUAGGACACGACAUUCUAAUUUCCUCAAAAAUGAAUUAGGCCAGAAUACUCGUGUAAUAAAAAUUUAAAAGAAUAUCCAUUUAUUCAAGAUUUAAGAAAUCGCGGCCCAAUACGUUAGGGCACAAUUCCUUCAAAAUCCCAAACUUGGAAUAUUUCCUUUAUUAUCUUUUAGAAAAAAUCUUCAUUUCGAGAAAUCAAUGCGUCACAUCCAAUACGUUAGGAUACAACGUGUUGAAUUCUUAUUUUUUUGAUUAAAGAGAAAUGCUCGAUUGUUAGAUUUAACGAAGAAAAUCGGAACCCAAUACGUUAGGGCUCAAUUUCCUUGAAAAUCCUAUAUACAAGCAUUAUCUCAAUUUUGAAAAGUUUGAAAUCGAGUAAAAAAAUGAUGUGAUGCUACAUUAAAUAUACAAUGCAAUAAUAAAUAUUACAAUGACAUAGAAAUAAUAUGAAUAAAUGAAUAAACAAAAUCGAUAACAUGCAAAGUAUCAAAUAAAUAAACAAAAUAAAAAAUAUUCUUUUAAAAUAUAAAUGAUAACCUAAAUCAAUAAACAAAUGGAGGAAAUAAACAAAAAUAUAAAGAAUAAGAGGUACAAAAUAUAUAUACAUUUGAAAUUAUGAAAAAUAAGAUAAAAAUAUAAAAGUAUGUAUAUGUAUAUAUUUACAAAAUAAAAAAAGUGUAUAAGUAUAUAUUGAUAAAUCAUGAAAAUACAUAUAUGUAUGUAUUUAAACACUUAUAUAUAUGUACAAUAUGUAUAUACAUAACGGAAUAUAUAGAAUAAAAAAAAACUUAUAAUGAUUUAAAAGUAAAAUAACAAAAAUGUUUAUACUAUAGAAAAUGAAUAUAAAAAAACCAUAUGUAUAAAAUAUAUAUAGGUAGACGUAUACUAUAAAAAAAACAUAUAUAUAUUAUAUAAAAAAACAAUGCGUGCAUACCAUAUAAAAAAAAUGCAUAUAUAUAUUAUAUAAAAAACGCGUGCAUACUAUAUAUAAAAAUGCGUAUAUAUAUUAUUAUAAAAAAUGCAUAUUUAUAUAUAGUAAUAAUAAUAAUAAUAAUAAAAAUAAUAAUAAUAACCAUAAAAAUAAUAAUAACAAUGUUAACAAAAUAAACUAAAGAAACCUAAAAUGAAAGAUUAAGGAUUAAACUGAAAACUAAACGGAGUUAAAAGGCUGAAUUUAAAGAUAGAAAACACUAAAGGGGACUAAAUUAAAACGCGCGCAACAGGGGAGGAUCCAAAAGAGAAUUAAUCCCACCCUCCAAAAAGCCGCGUCUUAAUAAGGACCAAAGUGAAACAAAAAUAAAACGUGUGGUUAAAUUUAAAAGAAAUAAAAGAAAAUGAUUAAACAUACUUCAAAAAACAAAGGACCCAAUAGAUAAAUAGCCCACCAAGGGUCCAAACAGGCAAAUCCAUAGCCAUUAAACGACACUAUUUUUCAAACCCCAAAAAAACUUUUAACAAACAUAUCAUUUCAUUUUCUUCAAAAACAGAGAAGGGAGGGGAGAACUCUCUGCUAGGGUUCUUUUCUCAACCCAAACCCCAGCCACACCACUGCCAUGACGCCGCCCAAAGCACCACCCUUGACGGCAGUUUGAAGGGACCGAACCAAAGGUAGGCACCUCCAUUCUUUCUUUUCUUAUUAUUUUCUGCUAUUAGAAGAUAUAAAAACAUGUAAACAAAAUCGAAAAAAAAACUCUAAAAACGACGAAAAUCACCUUUCCAAAAAAAUGUUUUCUGAUUCCUUGUUCUUGUAUUUUUUCAAUCCAACAUUCCUUUCCCCCUUUUCCUUUUUUUUAUUUGAUUUCCUCCCUUUUUAUAUUUUAAGAGAAAAUAAAAAAAAGUAAAUAAUAAAUAAUAAAUAAAAUCGAACACCCACAAAGUAAACUAAAAAAUAAUCACCUCCGCUUUCCAAAAAUUUUGAAUCUGUUUUCUUUUCUUUGUAUUCUCUUUCGUUCCAAAAAAAAAAAUAUCUUUUGUUACAAUGUUUGAGUCUGCUUUUUAUAGCAGACCAAUGAAAAAAAGAAAAAAAAAGAAAAAAGGUAUGAAAUUUCUAUUGCAUCUUUGCUUGCUGAAUUUCCUCUGAGUUUCUCGUUAUUCUGCCGAUUCUAUCUUGUUGCCUUUCUUGUCGUGCAGGUGAAGGCGGCUCGUGCAAGGCGCUUGGUUGCGGUGCUGAAGACUCCCUUAGAAACCCUAGGGUUUCUUCAUUUGUUUUGGGCCACUUGUAUUUUGGGCCUUGUAUUCUAGGCCAGCUCGUUAAAAUACUGGACUUUUUUAUUUUAUUUUUAUUUAUAAAAGGGCCGGGUAAAAUUUAGGUAUUACAGUAUCCAUUAUCAACUCCAACAAGGUGGACCCAAACAUCAAAAUCAAAAUAAUAUUCUAAAACCUUAUUGUCUAUCCUUUUCAUAAUUUCAGCGAUAAAAUAAUAAUUAUACUUUACAAUUUUCUUCCGCCACCUUAAUAUAUUGUCAAGGGUAUUGUUGAGAUCUAGGAGUGAGAGAAGAUUUCAACAGUAUAAUCUAAAAUGAAUUUCUUUGGACUCAAUUCCAGGAAGGACUAAAAGCAACCCAGGAAAGAAGAAGACUCUUCUUGGGACCUCUUAAAGACGUCAACAUAGUCCUAACUUAGAGGGGCAACCAAACCUUCGCGCUGCUGAAUGGAGGAAAGAUACGGCCACAAUAAGGUAUCAAAACUAUCGAUGCUCGGAAUAUUUAAAAAGGUAUCAUCUAUGCCAUUCUUCGUUACAUUCUUUAUUAUUAUUAUUAUUAAUAUAAUGCCAGAAUUAUUUAUAAUCCAUACUCAACUCUUAAAUUGAAGUAUAAAUGCAUUUCAGUAUACUCAAACUCACGUGCUCUUGUCAUUAAAAAAAGAAGUCUACGGUUGAGAGAUUGUAUCACAAUAAUAUAGGUCACAACACAAACGAUUACCUUCACUUGAUGGAUGCCAUUAAAGCAACUGUAAGGAGGGGAUACCUGAAAAUAUUCAUAAAGGGAACACCUCAUUCCUUAAAAAAAUAAAGGGAGGAGGCAUCACAAUAAAUAAAUAAGCUCUGGAAGUCGUAGAAUAUUGAUGCAAAAGGUCUCAGGAUGCUGGCACACUACAACCAAUGCCCUUCAAAAGUGAAGAUAAAAGGGGGUCUGGCUUAAUAGGCAAUUGAUUGUGUACGCUUGGCAAGAUGGAUGACACAGUUGAGGAGGCCAUAAAAUAAAAAGCAACAACAAGAGCUUGGGUUUUUAAACUGAUACCUUGUGAAAGAACAAAUUAAAGAGAAAACUUUGAUUUUGUAAUUCACUAUUGAUGCAAUAAAGAGGUACACUUUAUAAGAGGAAACAGAUUAUAUUUACAAGUCUUACUUGAAAUUCUAAAAGUAAGUAGGGUGAUCUUCCUGUCUUUGACUCAUUCUUGUAACACUCAAAGCCUUAAUGGUUUGGUUGAUGAAGGCUGGCAAGCUUAUCACCAACUUCAGGAUGCUUAGCUCGGAAACUCUCUUGUCACCAACACUAUCUUUGACUCAUUCGUGUUGACUUUGAUGAAUGCAAAGUCUUGCUUCCCUCCACUAACCGCUCUAAUGUUGAUGACUUGUCAAGAUCGUCAUAUAUGGGGAAAAUCAACUGUGCUUGAUAAAGAGGGCAUAAUCACCAUUGUGAAAUAUUGCGAUGGUCAAAUUUUGGCCGGAUCCAACUAGUAAGGACUUGGUCCGUCUUAAUGGUUGAACCUCUACAAUUAAGUCUAGUUCAUCUUUGAUACACUGUACUAAUUGGAACAAUGUUAUUAUUGAAAACGAUCGUAAAAAGUCCUAAUUGCAACUCUCGUAAGUACAGAAUAUAUGUAACUAUUGAAGAUUACAUCUUUCGAGGAACUCAAUUGAAAUACGUGACUUAAUUUUCUGGGAAAAAAAAAAGGGGGUGAAAGAUUAGGUGGCAGACCUACUCGGAUAAAUUGUUGUCCUAUUAACUAGGCUAGUGCCCUUCAUUCUAAGCUGUACAAGCUCCUUCAGCUUUGCUGGACUUUGUUAUUAAUUACCCAAAAAAAAUAUUACGAUAAUCGAAUUUAUAUAAUUAAUAUACUAAAACCAAAUUUAUAUAAUUAACAAUUUGUAAGUUGUUCAAGCAAAACAGUGAAAUAUUUGAAUUCAACUCGAGUUGCUCAAGUUUGGUUUAAGUUCAAUAAUAAUAAAACCAAAUUCAUUUUUUUAAUAUAAUUAAUAUACUAAAAAAAUUCAAUAUAAUUUAUACCCAUUAAGCCUAUCACAAAAAUACAUAAAAAGAGAGAUAAGUUGAAAGGAGAAAAAGGAUUUCUCAUAAGACCAUGUAUCUUGUCAGUAAUUUAUGCUCUUUCAUCUCUAACACCUUUGAUAACAGGGGUGUAUAAGGAACCCUGAGUCAACAAGGUCCAAGACAGCAAGCUAUUAACAGAGUUGUAUAAUCUCUACCUCCAGGGGAUGGGGAUGAUGGAAGGGACAAGGGCUUCUUCGGAGGAGCUGAUAUUGUCAAGGACAAGGUCAAUAAUAUGAUUUAGGUUUGUAGAAGACUCCACGCUCCCUCUAUUAUCCAAGCUCUCCAAUCUUUCUUUAAAUGCAGAGAACAGGGUGUCAACAUGUCUAGCCUUUUGAAUAGCAGAUAGAAGUGGAACAACUACAUCUUAAGUGAAUUGGUUAGUAGCCCAGCCCCAGCACUAUACUACAUCAAAGUACUGUUGUAGUAGGUUCAAGUCAGUCAUUUCGAUGCCAAGGGGCGGCCAGAUAGAUAUCAUGCGAAGUAAUACAUUC
RNAcentral lists this long non-coding RNA (22036 nucleotides) under Gossypium barbadense (sea-island cotton). RNAcentral's name for it is "long non-coding RNA (GBAR_LNC019752)". The record is from RNAcentral. Lineage: Eukaryota; Viridiplantae; Streptophyta; Magnoliopsida; Malvales; Malvaceae.